CACGGGGGGAGCAAGCGUUGUUCGGAAUCACUGGGCGUAAAGGGCGUGUAGGCGGUCAAGUAAGUGGAAUGUGAAAGCCCCCGGCUUACCCGGGGAUCUGCAUCCCAAACUGCUUGGCUUGAGUACGGGAGAGGAUAGGGGAAUUCCUGGUGUAGCGGUGAAAUGCGUAGAUAUCCGGAGGAACACCGGUGGCGAAGGCGGCGUUCUGGACUGCAACUGACACUGAGGAACGAAAGCCAGGGGAGCAAACGGG
RNAcentral lists this ribosomal RNA (253 nucleotides) under uncultured bacterium. RNAcentral's name for it is "partial 16S ribosomal RNA". It matches the Rfam family "Bacterial small subunit ribosomal RNA", at positions 524 to 776 of the family's 1533-position model. The record is from RNAcentral.